RNAcentral lists this unclassified non-coding RNA (722 nucleotides) under uncultured Bradyrhizobium sp. RNAcentral's name for it is "partial 16S-23S ribosomal RNA intergenic spacer". The stretch from base 600 to 722 matches the Rfam family "Bacterial large subunit ribosomal RNA", at positions 1 to 122 of the family's 2925-position model. Lineage: Bacteria; Pseudomonadati; Pseudomonadota; Alphaproteobacteria; Hyphomicrobiales; Nitrobacteraceae. The record is from RNAcentral.
GGAGUUCAGUCUUCCCAGGCCCACCACGCUUCGCCGUCGGCUUCGCAUGGCACCGCCACGCAGAACGACCAGGCGAAGCGUGUCCGGCAUAGCCCGAAGGGCGACGCCGGACAGAAAGAGCGCUUCGUCUUCUGGUUACGGGGCCAUAGCUCAGCUGGGAGAGCGCGUGCUUUGCAAGCAUGAGGUCGUCGGUUCGAUCCCGUCUGGCUCCACCAGAUGGUUUGAUCACCGAGAUCUUGACCGUCGUCCGCGAAACAUCACUUCGCAUCCUGCUAGUCUGGAUAGACAGCAAGUUGCGUGUUUUCUGACAUCGUAAAGAGGAGAUCGAUCCGAGUUGGAUCGUGCAACAUAUCGUUGCGCGAGCCUUCAUUAUCUCCGGAUCAUUUCGGCGCUCGCUUCCAGCCGUGAGGUUGGAUGCGGGUUGUAAAUGAUCCUUUUAGCGAAGCUUGACCGCCUCGCUAUCGGAACGAUCUUACGAAGCAAGCUGGUCUUUCUAGUCAAUGUCCGGCUGUGAGAAUAGCGUUCGUCGAGGGCGCGUGCCGCAGGGCAGUUCUUACAGACAACAUUCUGCCGAGUGUGUGGACAUUGAUAAUGAGAGCAAUCAAGUGCCUUAAGGGUGUUCGGUGGAUGCCUUGGCGCUGAGAGGCGAUGAAGGACGUGCUACGCUGCGAUAAGCCGUGGGGAGCUGCGAAGAAGCUUUGAUCCGCGGAUUUCCGAAUGGG